CGUCUUCCUCCCUCACGAAGAAAGCGUGAGCUCCUUUUUCCUCUGCCUUGGACCACACCGCACCACCACCGAUCCCCACCUGCUUCCUCCCCUCCUUUUAAUCCCCAUCGAGCCCCCAAGAAACCCUAGCGCCCUCCCCUCUCUCCCUCUAGCCCGCCGCCAUCAACUCCCCCUUCGCCCUAUCUUCCUUUUCUCUUCUCUGUAAGCUCACGAAGAAACAACACCCCCACCAUAUCGCCAUGGCGCCGCAGCUACAGUCCACCCCGCGUCUAUCCGUGAGUACCAGAAGAUGCGCCUUGUCUUCCUCUUCAUCCUCCCCAAAGGAAUCGACCGGGGGCUCGCUACUUCACCGGCAAAUUCGCCGUUUCUUCUUCAACUCCGGCGACUGUAUUCUUCAAUUCCGGCCGCCCUCGACCUCCUCCGGCCAAACUGAGCACACCUCUGGCUUCCCCAAGCCAGGGCGCAUCCUCGACGCCCUUGUUUUCGUCCCGUCUCCGUCAUCCCCGAGCACGCCUGCAAGUAUCCGCCAUGGUUUCUUCUGUCCCCGAGCUCCUCCGUGGUCGGCUCUAAUAGGGCGCGAUUCUGGUCUUCUUCAACAUCUACACAUCAGCGCAGUGAUCUCGUGGGCAGAGAUGCUUCAUCAGGCAUGGAGCCUUUUCCAAACCAACAUCAUCAGCCUAGCCCAGCUGAUCUUCCGCAGAUGGGCCUCGGCCCAGAUCUAUCCGGCGUAGCUCCUUGCCCGAGCGGUCCGUAGCUUCCCGUCGCCGCGUGCACGCCAGAAGUGGGCCGGCCCGCGCGCGCGAACCUUCCUCCCGCCGGCCAGCAUUUGCUUCUUCCCGGAUAGGAUCGCGAAGUGGUGUUGUGAGAUACGACAAGUUCUCCGGAUGUCCCUCGGCAAGCUUUAACAGGCAAGCAUUUUCCCCUAUACUUCUGCCCCUGCAGAAGUCGCUCACCUAUUUUAUUUUGCCUUCUCCCUCAUGCUAUCCUUAAGUUGCGUUCUUGUCACGUGUCCUUUCCACUUGUUACCUCAAGCAGCCCAUAUUGCCACCACCACCUCCUACGGCUAUUGUUUGGUUAUCGAGUCUGCCCUUGCGAGUCGUAGUGCAUGCUAGUGCUGUUAUAUCUUGUUACCGUUGUUGAUAUCUUAUUGGGUUAUAUGUUGGGAAGAAUCAUGGUUACUUUAGUUGUUGAUGUUUGUUUAGUGGAGGCAUCGGUGGGUCAGCUGCUCGUUUUGUGAUGGCUCACUUGUGUUUCCUAAAUAUUUUAGGACCCCGAGUUCUUGUUAUCUGUUCCGAGACUGAGCGCUCUAACCACACGUGGGUAUGCUUACCGGGUCUCCCCUCGACCACUGCCGGAAUCUACAGCUUUGUCCAGUGGCCACAACUAGUUUGAAUGUUUGUUUUGUUUCUCCCGAGCGUGCAAGCAUGUUUCUUUGUGGUCAGAUGAUAUGAUGUUACUUUUGGGGAAGCCGUGAGUGCCUUGUAACCCCGUUGUCUCUUGCACGCUCGUAGGAUGCGGUACGUAUUGUUAAGAGGUCAUCCUCUAGUGGGCUCUGAUCCUCUUAGCCGUAGACGCAAACAGCUAAGUCCGCUUCGGAGCACGGCCGGACUUCGACACGGGUUAACUUAGUUAGGUGGCUUCCUGGACAUUGUUGUAGUGAAGGAGAGUGCGUGUCGUGAUAUCCACCUGUCGUAAGUGGGUUGAGCGUGCGUGUGGGCACAUUUGGGCACCCCUGCAGGGUUACAAUCUUAUCGAUAAGCCGUGUCCGCGGUUAUGGACGACUUGGAGCUGUAUGACUCGACCAUAGACAACUUACACUUGUUGCUUCAAUCAUAAUAACUGGUGUAGUAAGUUAGCACAACUUCAAUAAUAAAUGGUUAAAACUUGACAACCGUGUGAGUGCCUUUGUUAGUACUUCUUGGCGAAGGGGGAACACAUUGGCUGUGUUUUGUUUGCAUAGUAUAGAACUGUUAGUUACGCUCUCUCACCUUCUCUGAUUAGACGACUGUUGUAGAGUGUCUCUAUAGGUUUUUAGUGCUUGCGCUGCCGCUUAACUCCACCAU
Molecule: non-coding RNA, 2063 nt
Organism: Lolium perenne
Lineage: Eukaryota; Viridiplantae; Streptophyta; Magnoliopsida; Poales; Poaceae
Source: RefSeq, a predicted model, not a curated record